GACGAACGCUGGCGGCGUGCCUAAUACAUGCAAGUUGAGCGCUGAAGGAUGGUACUUGUACCAACUGGAUGAGCAGCGAACGGGUGAGUAACGCGUGGGGAAUCUGCCUUUGAGCGGGGGACAACAUUUGGAAACGAAUGCUAAUACCGCAUAAAAACUUUAAACACAAGUUUUAAGUUUGAAAGAUGCAAUUGCAUCACUCAAAGAUGAUCCCGCGUUUUAUUAGCUAGUUGGUGAGGUAAAGGCUCACCAAGGCGAUGAUACAUAGCCGACCUGAGAGGGUGAUCGGCCACAUUGGGACUGAGACACGGCCCAAACUCCUACGGGAGGCAGCAGUAGGGAAUCUUCGGCAAUGGACGAAAGUCUGACCGAGCAACGCCGCGUGAGUGAAGAAGGUUUUCGGAUCGUAAAACUCUGUUGGUAGAGAAGAAAGUUGGUGAGAGUGGAAAGCUCAUCAAGUGACGGUAACUACCCAGAAAGGGACGGCUAACUACGUG
Molecule: ribosomal RNA, 497 nt
Filed under: uncultured bacterium
Lineage: Bacteria
Description: partial 16S ribosomal RNA
Rfam family: Bacterial small subunit ribosomal RNA
Source: RNAcentral